This 1233-nucleotide long non-coding RNA is filed under the name Felis catus (domestic cat). RNAcentral's name for it is "lncRNA (ENSFCAG00000048350.1)". Lineage: Eukaryota; Metazoa; Chordata; Mammalia; Carnivora; Felidae. The record is from RNAcentral.
AGAGGGGGGUCGGGAGGCGGUGAGGCGGGGUGGAAGUGAGAACGAGAAAACCCGUGCUAAAACCUCUUCCAAGAGAAAAAGAAGAAAGAGCGCCCGCCCCCCCCCUCCUCGCCGCCGCCGGUGCAAAAGGCGGUAACCAACCACCCUAGCCCACACCUGGUCGGUGCUCCACACCCUGGGCAGGAAGGGGGUGGGAAGGAGGGCGCAGGAGGCCUGCCCUUUUUGUAUUCAAUUGCCCGUGCGUCUAUGCAAAAAGCCAGGAGCUGGGCUGCACCCCGGGUGGAGCGCGCAAUGGCUGAAAGCUUUUCUGUUUUGGGAUGUGGCUCUACCUGCCCGCCCCUUCCCCCUCCCCCACGUGGUGCAGUUUACUCAAAAUCUACAAGGGAGAGUGCUCCAAUUAGAGCAAAACAGAGGAGGAAAACCUUUUCAUCGUCGGCUGUCACGACCAGCUCCGGCCACACUGGAAAGCCUGCUUUGAAAGCCCAGGUGAUCAUCAUGCUUCUUUCACGCAACUACUCUGCCCUGCUUUCACACAGUUCUAAAGCCAAAAACCUACUGUUCGCACCUGCCUGCCCAGCUUCUUUCCUUCCUUCUUUCCUUCCUUCAUUCAGCAAAUAUUUAUCAAGCACUUACUUUUUGCCAGGUGUUAUGCCAGGCGCUGGAUAUAGCAGCAAAUAAGUAAACUAUGUUAAUAUGUGUUCAGUAUCCAAUGUUGGGCUGAAGCCUUUCUAUUGGACUAUUAGUAGCAAUAUUUUAGAAAGAUUAAAAAACCAGUUCUAGUGAAUGCAAGAUACUAUCUUGUAUUUGAAUAGAACCAUAUAGUAUUUAAGGAUUUCACAUGCAAGAUUCCAUUUUAUACUCAAAUCUAUUAAAAAGAAAAAAGGGUAGGGCAAAUAUUAUCUUCAUUUUGCAGAUGACACAAACGAGAUUUAGGUAGGUUAGAUGAUUUCCUUCAAGGUCACACAGCUAGUAAGCAACAAAGCUGGCUUGGGAACUCAGCUCUUACUUCUGAUUGGUUGCUUUUUCUAUCACCCCUUACUGGGACAGGAAGGUCUGACUUCCUAGGAGGCAGCUACCUCACUCUGUGUGUAAAUAAGGCGGUAGAGAACUGUUCCCUUUGAGUUUUUAAUUUUUUUUAAUGUUUAUUUAUUUUUUAGAGACAGAGACAGAGACAGAGUGUGAGCUUGGGAGGGGCAGAGAGAGAGAGGGAGACACAGAACCCGAAGCAGGGUC